This is a non-coding RNA of Mesorhizobium alhagi CCNWXJ12-2, 221 nucleotides long. Lineage: Bacteria; Pseudomonadati; Pseudomonadota; Alphaproteobacteria; Hyphomicrobiales; Phyllobacteriaceae. The record is from Rfam.
GAAGUCCGUUACGAUGAAGGAAUAGCGAGCCACAUCGGCCCCGAGCCGUGCGCAGGCAUCCGUGAGGAGGUCGGCGAAGCGUCGGCAGGGGAGUGCAUAGGCCAGCCAUUGAGCCGCGAAAGAGGGUUUUUCCGGGCGCCGACGCCGUCAACUGGGCGGAAGGCGAAAUGGGCAGGCGCGCAAGCGCGAGUGUCUGUCCGGCCCGGCGUGGUCGGAGACCC